This 55-nucleotide transfer RNA is filed under the name Ancylostoma caninum (dog hookworm). RNAcentral's name for it is "tRNA-Phe". Lineage: Eukaryota; Metazoa; Nematoda; Chromadorea; Rhabditida; Ancylostomatidae. The record is from RNAcentral.
AUUUCUUUAGUUUAAUUUAAAAUAUAACUCUGAAGAAGUUAAGAUAGUUAGAAAU